RNAcentral lists this ribosomal RNA (322 nucleotides) under uncultured eukaryote. RNAcentral's name for it is "partial 18S ribosomal RNA". It matches the Rfam family "Eukaryotic small subunit ribosomal RNA", at positions 1470 to 1796 of the family's 1831-position model. The record is from RNAcentral.
CCCUUAGAUGUCCUGGGCCGCACGCGCGUUACACUGAUGCAUUCAACGAGCUUAUAACCUUGGCCGAGAGGCCUGGGCAAUCUUGUUAACGUGCAUCGUGAUAGGGAUAGAUUAUUGAAAUUAUUAAUCUUGAACGAGGAAUUCCUAGUAAACGCAGAUCAUCAAUCUGCAUUGAUUACGUCCCUGCCCUUUGUACACACCGCCCGUCGCACCUACCGAUUGGAUGGUCCGGUGAAGCCUCGGGACGGCGGCUUGGUCGCUUGCGUCCGACUGCUGAAACUUGAUUAAACCAUAUCAUUUAGAGGAAGGUGAAGUCGUAACA